Molecule: ribosomal RNA, 253 nt
Filed under: uncultured bacterium
Lineage: Bacteria
Description: partial 16S ribosomal RNA
Rfam family: Bacterial small subunit ribosomal RNA
Source: RNAcentral
UACGUAGGGGGCAAGCGUUGUCCGGAUUUAUUGGGCGUAAAGAGCGUGUAGGCGGCCUGAAAGGUCAGCUGUGAAAACUCGAGGCUCAACCUCGAGACGUCGGUUGAAACCAUCUGGCUAGAGUCCGGAAGAGGAGUGUGGAAUUCCCGGUGUAGCGGUGAAAUGCGCAGAUAUCGGGAAGAACACCCGUGGCGAAAGCGGCUCACUGGACCGCAACUGACGCUGAGGCGCGAAAGCUAGGGGAGCAAACAGG